Molecule: ribosomal RNA, 253 nt
Filed under: uncultured bacterium
Lineage: Bacteria
Description: partial 16S ribosomal RNA
Rfam family: Bacterial small subunit ribosomal RNA
Source: RNAcentral
UACGAAGGGGGCUAGCGUUGUUCGGAUUUACUGGGCGUAAAGCGCGUGUAGGCGGGUCGUUAAGUUGGGGGUGAAAUCCCGAGGCUCAACCUCGGAACUGCCUUCAAAACUGGCGACCUGGAGCGAGAUAGAGGCAAGUGGAAUUCCGAGUGUAGAGGUGAAAUUCGUAGAUAUUCGGAGGAACACCAGUGGCGAAGGCGACUUGCUGGAUCUCUGCUGACGCUGAGACGCGAAAGCGUGGGGAGCAAACAGG